AUUACAGAAGGAAGUUGGCAGACAUAAAAGCUUACAUAGAAAAAUGAUUACAGGCAGUUGAUUAUUCUCAGCAAGUCUUGUGGUCAGGGCAAGGUGGGCAGAGCUUUUCUUUGAAAUUCGUCUCACACCACUAAUUAACUGCACUUUUUCAUGGCCCUAAAUCAUAUCUGCCCUCAAGGUAACCAAGGUAACCCAAACACCAUUCUUCAGGAUUCCACCCCCAGGGUUUGCUCCAAUAAUGAAUGGCUGGCUUCAUGUUAUCAAGAAUAGCCUGCCUUUCUUCCCUAUCUAAAAUGCACCAGGGGUUUGCUACAAACUCUCACUCUGGCUCUUCUGGCCCUCUGUAGCAGCUUUGAUGGUUCCCCAAAGGCAGGAUGGAGCUGCCCAGAAGGCCCGGGCUGGCUAAUUCUCAGAAACAUGAGUCUGAUGACCAAACCCAUUUGGGGAUCUUCAGGAGAGCAUCAAGCCCAGAGAGUACUGCAUCUUCUAAAUCUUAGAAGGCCAGGGUGGGCGAGUAGGAGAGCUUAGAAGGGGCAAUCCUGUGUCACUGAACCUAUCUCUCCAACAACAGAUGGCCCAGGAGGACUAGGCAAGCUUUUAAAUCCCAGCCUGGGACAGGCCCAAGAUACUAAAAAAUCUUAGUGCAGUUUCUGGGCUCAGGGUCCCUGCAAAACUGGCAGUCAAAAUCUAGAAGGUGCAGAGACUCAAGUCCUCAGAUCCAUCAGAAGAGCUCAAGGCCCCUCUAAACAGGUUCAGCAGCUCGAUAGCUCCAACUAGUCUGUCCAGCAGACCUUAUACCUACCUCCUAUCUUGUCCUAAAUGUCCCUGGGUUCCAGCUCAGUCCUCUAGGCUGUACUGCAGCCAAAAGUCUAAAGGUCAGCCCUAGCUCCUCCUGUCCAGCCAAUUGAGGAGAGUUCUGAAUCACCCGCUCCCUCCUCAUCCAGAGAUCAUACCACUGCCUUGCCUGCCACAGCUCCAGAGCCCUUCCCGGCUCCCACGCACAAUUUACUGCUCCGCGAUGCGGUGUCCGGGUGCAUCCGCUUGAGAGAGUGGGUUACAUGUGAACCCUUCCACUCCAUCCGGUGGUCACUCACAAAACUCCAAACCCGGAACAAAGCCCUAUCUCUCACCCUCCUUCCAGAUGCUGGCUCUGCUGGAUCCACACGUCAUUCAUCUCCCGCCUCUGUUUUUGAAAGCCAAUUUCACCUCAGGACUUUUUGCAGAGGUCACACAAAAGAACGGCUGUUCAAAAGUCUCAGCUUAGUUCCUGGCCUGUGCAACCGUUUUGAGUUUUUAUUCUCCAACAUUAGAAUCUCCAGGGCCAGUACACUAAGAGAUGGUGAUGAGAACGGUCUGCUGCCCAAAAUGUGGAUUUGUGGAGAAAAGUGUAAAGUCCCAUGGUCUGGUCCUUCACUGUCCACCACAAAGAGGGACUGGGCUUGUGAAACCUCCAGAGCAAGGCCCUGUGGGGUGACUUUCCAGGUAAGGACAACUGACAGCCUGUGCUCCAUCCCCGGGACCCACGUGGUGGAAGGAGAAAAGUGAUUCCCCUAAGUCGUCCUCUGAACUACAGAGAGAGACAAAACCAGAGAGCCUCAUGGAAAAAUAAAAAUUAUAAAAGCAAAUUCACGGGCAGGUCGGGGGAUUAGCAAUUCUGUAGGAGAUUUCUUGAGGCAAGAGGGACCCUGGUGCCUAUCUCUUCUGGGCUCCUUCACUUCCAAGCUCCCAGAUUCCUGUUUCCAAAUCAUUCUGUAGGUUCAUAACAUUGCCUUUCAUUGGCCUUCCACCUAAGUGAAUAUUGUUCAAAUAGAUAAGGAUACAGGACCAUAAAGGGUCAGAUCACGAUGUGAAUAACCCAGCCACUGGGAACAUUCACCUUGAACAAAUACAAUUCGGAUGGCUGGGGAUAAAAUGAAGUACAAUAAUAUCACAAUCAUCUCUGCCUUAAGGAGGCCUUGGUGGCUCAUAAGAAAGUGAGCUACAUUAACAGAGAGAUGUACAAUGCCUUAGGUUUUUGGAAAACAGAAUUCAGAGGCCAGGCAGUGGUGUCACACACCUUUAACCCCAGCAUUCAGGAGGCAGAGACAUACAAAUCUCUGAGUUAGAGGCCAGCCUGGUCUACAGAGCAAGUUCCAGGACAGCCAGGGCUACACAGAAAAAACCCUGUCUCAAAAAAAACAAAAACAAGGGCUGGAGAGAUAGCUCAGUGGUUAAGAGCAUUGCCUGCUCUUCCAAAGGUCCUGAGUUCAAUUCCCAGCAACCACAUGGUGGCUCACAACCAUCUGUAAUGAGGUCUGGAUAGCUGUAUACAUAAUAAAUAAAGAAAGAAAAAAUUUAAAAAAAAAAAAACAAAACAAAACAAAAUUAAAAAAACACACAAAAACAAAAAAAGAAUUCAGGUUGGAGAGAGAGAUCAGUCUAUAAAGCUGGAAACACAGCAAGCUCCAGUCCCAGUAAGAGACCCUAUCUCAAAAAAAUGACACCCGAGGUUGACUUCUCACGAACAAACACACAGGCAAAAAACGCAAUGGCAAUCACUGAAAGAACCCUCUCUCUGUGCCAUGCUUAAGAAGAAAUUAAGAACGUCCACUGGUUUUUUUUUUUCCUGGUGUGUUUAUUUACACUGGCUCAGCAAAUACAUUGAUCCACAGACUAUAGCUAGAGGCCAAGGUCAAGUCAGCGUGUUUGGUUUUGGUGGUGGUGUUGUGGGUUUGUCAUUGUAUGAUUGUUGUUUUAAGGUUUCAAAAGUUUUUUUUUUUUUUUUUUUUUUUUUAAAGACAGGAUCUUCUUUGUAGUCUUGGGUGGCCUGGAACUUGCUAUGUAGACCAGGCUUGCCAAGGGCUGGGAUUGAAGGUGUGUGCCACAUGCCCAGUGCAUUUAUUAUUUCAACUUGCUAUAUUUUAAUGAAUAUGCUAUUUUAUGUUUGUUUGGUUUGGGUUUUUGUAUCAGAGUUUCUCUGUGUAGCACUAGCUGUCCUGGAACUCACUCUGUAGACCAGGCUGGCCUCGAACUCACAGAGAUCUGCCUGGUCUUUGCCUCCCGAGUACUGGGAUUAAAGGUGUGCCACCACCCGACAAACGUGCUAUUUUUAAUGAAUUUUGCUGGGCAUCACCUGUGAGCUGGUUUUGAAGCAGUCCAUCGGUUAGUAUAGCAGCUAGCCAACAGCUUCUUUCCCUUCCUUGGAGCCGACUCUGCCAGAGUAGGCAGGCUUCAUUCUAUUCCCCUUUGUGCUGCUGGCUAUGUCUGUACAGCAAACAGAAACUGUUUCCAGAGUUAGAGAGACAGCUCAGUCUUGGGGGGAACUGGCUGCUUUUUUAGAGGAUCCAGGUUCAAUUCCCAGCACCCACACAUUAGCUCACAACUGUCUGUAACUCCAGUUCCAGGGCUCUGACGCCCUCUUCUGGCCCCCACGGGCACCAGCCAUGCACCUGGUAUACUGAAAUGCAUAAAGACAAAUAUUCAUACGCAUAAAAAAGAAAAUGCUGCCGAGUGUGGUUGUGUUUGAUCCCAACACUUGGUAGACAGAGGCAGGUGAAUCUCUGAAUUCAAAGCCAGCCUGGUCUACAUAGUGAGUUCCAGGACAGCCAGGGCUGUGUAGAGAGACCCUGUCGCCAAAAAGAAGAAAGAGAAAGAGAGGGAGGGAGGGAGGGAGGGAGGAAGGAAGGAAGGAAGGAAGGAAGGAAGGAAGGAAGGAAGAAGGGGAGAAAAGUCCCACACUUGAUAAAUACACAUAAAACACUUGAGCCAGGCAGUGAGUGAUGGUGCAGGUCUUUAAUCCCAGCAUUUCAGAGGCAUAGGCAGGUGGAUCUCUGGGAGCAAGUUCUGGGACAUGUUCUAAAGCUACACAGAGAAACCCUGUCUCAAAAAACAAUAACAACAACAACACAAUUUUUGGUUGUUUUCAAGACAAGUUUUCUCUGUAUAGCCCUGGCUGACCUGAACCUUGUUCUGUAGACCAGGCUGGCCUCAAACUCAGAGGUCUGCCUACCUCUGCCUCCCAAGUGCUGGGGAUUAAAGGCGUGUGCCAACAACGCUGAGCACAUAGAUAUAUAUUUCUAUAAUCAGCUGGGGGUUUUUUUUUUUACUAUGCCAAAAAGUUUACUAGUUUUUACAUGUCAAACUUUAAUAUGAAUAUACACGUACAGAAUUAAGCACAAACCGUACGAAGACAAAAUUUAAUUAUCUGAAUCAAAAGAGUAAAUAAGUAAAAGCUGGGCCUAGUGGUAUACACCUCUAAUCCCAUCAUGUGAAAGGCAGAGGGCAGAGAUCGCUACACGUUCUAGUCCAGCCUGAUCUCUCUAGAGAGUUUCAGGCAAGCCAGGGUCACAGCCCUAAGAGCCCCGGUGAGGUGAGGCAGCUGACAGGAGUCAGUGAGCAGUCUUUGGUUCCUCUGAGGGUGGAGCAUGAAGACUGGAAGACUGAAAAACAGGACCACUUAGGAACAGUAACCGGAACGGUUGCCUGGACAACCGCGCUGCUAGAUAGCAAGCUGCUUGGACUAGAGUCGACGGUGAUUGGCUGGUUUUCCUGGCGUCCAUCUCCCUGGCAACUGACUGGCUGAGGACAGGGAGGGAGGGUUUCCGGUGUGGAAAAGUCGUGGUCAGACAGACUCCUGACCCCAUCAAGAGCUCUAGGGAGUUAGCGGUCCUAGCCCAGAGCUGCAUCCACAGGCCUCCACCUCUACCCGACUCUUCUUCUACCAGGACCUUGAGCCUUGGUGCAGGAAGCUCAGAAGGAAAUGUGUUCGCUGUCCUUGCUCUUCUCAGUAGCACACUAGUAUACUAGGCGUUCAGCUGUGGCCAUGAGCCCUCAGAUAUCAAGACCCUCGUCAGGCUUCCUACCUUCUCGUGACACCCCACCACCCACCAAAUCAUCAGCUCCCAAGGUGCCACUCUUUUCUUUUAAAUUAUUUAUUAUGCAUACAGUAUUCUUUCUGCAUAUAUGCCUGCAGUCCAGAAGAGGGCACCAGAUCUCAUUACACCAUGUGGUUGCUGGGAAUUGACCUCAGAACCUUUGGAAGAGCAGGCAGUGCUCUUAACCAAUGAGCCAUCUCUCUCGACCCGGUGCCACUCUUUUCUGAACGCACUGGCAUCCUGUCCCCCCAGUGCACCAGGCAUCCAGCCCGAGGAACUGAAAUCACAGCCAACAAUAGCCAUCCUGCAAGUGAGUCAGUACGCUAAGGUCCCGUGGAUUCCCACAAGUCUUUGCAAGCAGUCCCUGGCCAUCAUUAAAGGGUCCUAGGAAAGAAGCUCAUCUCACAGGUGGAAGCCCCCUCAGCCCCUCACUCUGAGCCACAACAGAGACAUUCCAUCGCUGGCUGAGUGACAUUUGUCCACAGACAAGAGAGAGGAAAGACAAGAGCAGUCUGUCUUUCUGGCCUCCGACAAAGGACCCUCUAGCCAGGUGUGGUAGCUAGAGCACAUCUGUAAUCCCAGAAUUGUGGGCAGAGCCAGUGGUUAGUGUCAUCCCUAACUACACAGUGAGUUUCAGGUCAGCUUCAGCUAGCUGAGAUCCUGUCUAAAUAAAACCUUUGGUUGAGACAGGGUUUCUCUGUGUAGCUCUGGCUGUCCUGGAACUUGCUCUGUAGACCAGGGUGGCGUUGAGCUCAGAGAUCCGCCUGCCUCUGUCUCCUAAGCAAGGUUCAGGAUAGCCAGGGCUACACAGUAAGACACUGUCUAAACAAACAAACAAACAAAAUAAAAUAAAAAAAAACCGCAACAAGCUUGCCAGAGCUGAUCUGGCAGACCUGUCACAAAUUCACAGCUGUGUGACUUGUGAUUCAGGGACCGGAGAGAUGGCUCAGCGGAUAAGAGACAGACGUGUGGGCAAAACACCAAUGCACACGAAACAGACAAAUCAAUCAAACAAACAAACCAAAACCUUGGCAGCAAACCCAGCCAGAGAGUAGAGGUAAGGUAGACAACACACACAACAGAUCCGCUGGCUCUGUCCAAGCCUGGGCAGCCAUUGUUACUAUUCUCUGUAUCCUAUUCAAGCUACAGAAUUGUUUCCCUUAGAAGGUAGGCACCACCCAGAGGUGCAGACAGCAUGCGGUUCCCUGAGGCCUCUCUGGGUAUCAGAGCUGAGUGUUCUCGUGGCAGCUGAGCCACAGUGCAGGAUAAGCUGGGCCCUGGGUUCUGAAAGGAGCAAAUGGAAUGGAUGCCACAGGCGUUAAGAAUCAGAACUUUUGUUCAAAGCCAAAUGGGAAGGCACCGCACAUUAUAAACGGCACACGCCAAGGAAGUGAGCAGCAGGGUUGGUAGUAGCUGCGGAAGGCAUGAGAGGGAGAGUGGUCCCUGGUGAGGACUUCUUGUUUUCCCUGGCAGGCCCCAGCAUAAGCAGAUGGAAGAAAUACCCACAAAAUAGCCAGGAGCUCGAGGAAGGUGAUCCAAUUCAGUAGACAGGAAACGAGUUUCCCUGCUCCAGGUUCCCGACAUGAAAGCCAAAGGAGGGGAUAAGGCUCAGUGAGAGCCAAGGUCCCUUGUGACAUGAUGCAAGUUGAAGGGACCCCCUUUCCCCGGCUCCACUUUCAGAAGUGACUGGCUGUCUUCCAGCUGGGAAGCCGAACUCAGAGCCUUUGUUUACAGACCUAUGGUCCCAAGAUGAGCUGGGUGGUUUGCACCUAUGAUCUAAGUACCUAGGAGGUAGAGGCAAGGAGCAUCGGU
This is a long non-coding RNA of Alexandromys fortis (reed vole), 6665 nucleotides long. RefSeq lists it as uncharacterized. Lineage: Eukaryota; Metazoa; Chordata; Mammalia; Rodentia; Cricetidae. The transcript has 2 exons. The record is from RefSeq and is a predicted model, not a curated record.